Mus musculus (house mouse) is the source of this 1317-nucleotide long non-coding RNA. RefSeq annotates it as predicted gene, 53988. NCBI's taxonomy places the organism in Eukaryota, Metazoa, Chordata, Mammalia, Rodentia, Muridae. The transcript has 2 exons. The record is from RefSeq and is a predicted model, not a curated record.
AUGAGGUCUACACCCACAGUGACACACCUACUCUGGACCAAGUAUAUACAAACAAUCAUACACAUGUAGAGUAUAGUGACACUUUAACACAUUAUGUAUAUCACCUCAGAUGUAUCUUCAUGCUGGAAACAAGAAUUCUCUCUUAGCUGUUUGAGAAUAUUUCAUUGAUUGCUGCCACGGUUAAUAUUGUCGAUUUCAUGGACAUAGAGUCAGUAAAGAGACAAGGCCUCUGAGCAUGCUGGGACUUUUGUAGAUUAGGUUACUUGAGGUGGGAAUACCCAGUCUAAAUGUAGGUAGUCCUAUCCCAUAUGCUGGGAUCCUGGGCUACAUCGAAACAGAAAUGAGAGCUGAGCCCCCAGGGUUCAUCUUUCUUUGCUUCCUGGCAGCCAGUGCUUCAUGUCCGGCCUCCUCACAGUCCUGUCCCACCAUGAUACACUGUAUCCCCAAACUAUAAGCCAAGAUAAACCACUUCUCUUGCAAGAUGCUUUUGUCAGAGCAACAAGCUCAUGAUAGUUAGGCUGCCAUCUUUUCUCAGAGCUCUGCAUUAUAGAAUUAGAGGAGACAUGUUUGCUGAUCAAGCCCAGAAAUCUCUCUCUUCCCUCAUGAUUUUCCAGAGCCUAUGGAAUCAAUACCUGCUAGACAUCACCAAAAGAAACCCAGAAGGCACUCUGCAUGUAUUUUUGGUCCUGAACUUUACAAGUGCCGAGGGAUCCGCAGGCAACUCAAAUGGCCACCAACUUCUGUAGAAGGAGCACUUAUUAAAGGAACGUUAGCUGGCUCACCAAUCUCCAGGAGGCAAAAAAUAACCCAGGCUGUUGAGUUAGGUUGCCAACAACUGCAUGAGCUAAAAGCGUGCGGCAGAUUUAGCUCCACCAAGACGUGGCUGCUGCCUCCGUGAAGCAGAGUGAGUCAGCGGCCCUGCCACCCCUGGUCCCCUGCAUGGUGCACUGGCCUCCGUCUUGCCAUUGACACCCCCGUGCUAAAGAUGUUUUCUGUGUCCCUGCUCCUUAUGAACAGAGUACUUGAGCAAAAUGAAGACUGCCUGGACAGCUGUGCCAAGGUCAGAAGCCCAUGGCUAGCAUGUGGGUAGAGGGUCAAGAAGAGACUCAGUGGGGAACGCCCUUCCCCCUCCUGCCACUCCAGACACAGAAAAAGUGACCAAAGGAGAGAGCCACCUCAGCUGUUGGUAACUUCUCUAGCUCUGUCUGUAAUGCUUGGCUAUGGGAUGCGUCUUAAGGCUCACAUGCUGAAAGCUCUUCCUGCAGCUGCUGGGGCUGCUAGAACGAGCUUGAAACUUUAGAAGAGCAGCUCAGAGAA